RNAcentral lists this ribosomal RNA (253 nucleotides) under uncultured bacterium. RNAcentral describes it as "partial 16S ribosomal RNA". It matches the Rfam family "Bacterial small subunit ribosomal RNA", at positions 524 to 776 of the family's 1533-position model. The record is from RNAcentral.
UACGUAGGGGGCUAGUGUUGUCCGGAAUCAUUGGGCGUAAAGCGCGUGUAGGCGGUUCGGUAAGUCCGCUGUGAAAGUCGGGGGCUCAACCCUCGGAUGCCGGUGGAUACUGUCGGGCUUGAGUACGGAAGAGGCGAGUGGAAUUCCUGGUGUAGCGGUGAAAUGCGCAGAUAUCAGGAGGAACACCAAUUGCGAAGGCAGCUCGCUGGGACGUUACUGACGCUGAGACGCGAAAGCGUGGGGAGCAAACAGG